UACCGCAUACGCCCUACGGGGGAAAGCAGGGGAUCGCAAGACCUUGCACUAUUAGAGCGGCCGAUAUCGGAUUAGCUAGUUGGUGGGGUAACGGCUCACCAAGGCGACGAUCCGUAGCUGGUUUGAGAGGACGACCAGCCACACUGGGACUGAGACACGGCCCAGACUCCUACGGGAGGCAGCAGUGGGGAAUUUUGGACAAUGGGGGAAACCCUGAUCCAGCCAUCCCGCGUGUGCGAUGAAGGCCUUCGGGUUGUAAAGCACUUUUGGCAGGAAAGAAACGUCAUGGGCUAAUACCCCGUGAAACUGACGGUACCUGCAGAAUAAGCACCGGCUAACUACGUGCCAGCAGCCGCGGUAAUACGUAGGGUGCAAGCGUUAAUCGGAAUUACUGGGCGUAAAGCGUGCGCAGGCGGUUCGGAAAGAAAGAUGUGAAAUCCCAGAGCUUAACUUUGGAACUGCAUUUUUAACUACCGAGCUAGAGUGUGUCA
Molecule: ribosomal RNA, 491 nt
Filed under: Achromobacter xylosoxidans
Lineage: Bacteria; Pseudomonadati; Pseudomonadota; Betaproteobacteria; Burkholderiales; Alcaligenaceae
Description: bacterial SSU rRNA
Rfam family: Bacterial small subunit ribosomal RNA
Source: RNAcentral